RNAcentral lists this ribosomal RNA (448 nucleotides) under uncultured bacterium. RNAcentral's name for it is "bacterial SSU rRNA". It matches the Rfam family "Bacterial small subunit ribosomal RNA", at positions 355 to 825 of the family's 1533-position model. The record is from RNAcentral.
CAGGGAAUCUUGCACAAUGGGCGAAAGCCUGAUGCAGCGACGCCGCGUGGGGGAUGAAGGCCCUAGGGUCGUAAACCCCUUUCAGCAGGGACGAAGAUGACGGUACCUGCAGAAGAAGCCCCGGCCAACUACGUGCCAGCAGCCGCGGUAAGACGUAGGGGGCGAGCGUUGUCCGGAUUUAUUGGGCGUAAAGAGCUCGUAGGCGGUUGCGUAAGUCGGAUGUGAAAACUCAGGGCUCAACCCUGAGACGCCAUCCAAUACUGCGCUGACUUGAAUCCAGUAGGGGAGUGCGGAAUUCCUGGUGUAGCGGUGAAAUGCGCAGAUAUCAGGAGGAACACCCAUGGCGAAGGCAGCACUCUGGGCUGGUAUUGACGCUGAGGAGCGGAAGCAUGGGUAGCGAACAGGAUUAGAUACCCCAGUAGUCCCUGAGCGGGCUGGCAAGGCGCAU